CAGGAUGAACGCUAGCGUACAGGCUUAACACAUGCAAGUCGAGGGGUAACGGCAGCUUAGCUUGCUAGCUGGCCGACGACCGGCGCACGGUGAGUAACGCGUAUCCAACCUGCCCCUACAAAGGGAUAACCCGUAGAAAUGCGGCCUAAUCCCUUAUGUACUCCGACGAUGGCAUCAGACUUGGAGCAAAGGAGCGAUCCGGUAGGGGAUGGGGAUGCGUCUGAUUAGCUUGCUGGCGGGGUAACGGCCCACCAGGGCUACGAUCAGUAGGGGUUCUGAGAGGAAGGUCCCCCACAUUGGAACUGAGACACGGUCCAAACUCCUACGGGAGGCAGCAGUGAGGAAUAUUGGUCAAUGGACGGGAGUCUGAACCAGCCAAGUAGCGUGCAGGAUGACGGCCCUAUGGGUUGUAAACUGCUUUUGCGGGAGGAUAAAGUGCUCCACGUGUGGAGCAUUGCAGGUAUCCCGCGAAUAAGGACCGGCUAAUUCCGUGCC
RNAcentral lists this ribosomal RNA (495 nucleotides) under uncultured bacterium. RNAcentral's name for it is "bacterial SSU rRNA". It matches the Rfam family "Bacterial small subunit ribosomal RNA", at positions 25 to 509 of the family's 1533-position model. The record is from RNAcentral.